Molecule: ribosomal RNA, 486 nt
Filed under: uncultured bacterium
Lineage: Bacteria
Description: bacterial SSU rRNA
Rfam family: Bacterial small subunit ribosomal RNA
Source: RNAcentral
GAGUUUGAUCCUGGCUCAGAAUCAACGCUGGCGGCGUGCCUAACACAUGCAAGUCGAACGAGAAAGUGGAGCAAUCCAUGAGUAAAGUGGCGCACGGGUGAGUAACACGUGACUAACCUACCCUUGAGUGGGGAAUAACCUCGGGAAACCGGGGCUAAUACCGCAUAAUACCUUCGGGUCAAAGGAGCAAUUCGCUUAAGGAGGGGGUCGCGGGCUGAUUAGCUAGUUGGUGGGGUAAUGGCCUACCAAGGCAAUGAUCAGUAUCCGGCCUGAGAGGGCGCACGGACACACUGGAACUGAAACACGGUCCAGACUCCUACGGGAGGCAGCAGUGGGGAAUUUUGCACAAUGGGGGGAAACCCUGAUGUAGCAACGCCGCGUGGAGGAUGAAGUCCCUUGGGGAUGUAAACUCCUUUCGACCGGGACGAUAAUGACGGUACCGGUGGAAGAAGCCCCGGCUAACUCUGUGCCAGCAGCCGCUGUAAC